This is a long non-coding RNA of Carassius gibelio (silver crucian carp), 1352 nucleotides long. RefSeq lists it as uncharacterized. NCBI's taxonomy places the organism in Eukaryota, Metazoa, Chordata, Actinopteri, Cypriniformes, Cyprinidae. The record is from RefSeq and is a predicted model, not a curated record. The transcript has 4 exons.
GUAGCCCUUUACACCUAAUGUCAGCCAAAAACCACACACUGUCCGUUCAGCAUGUUUGCUGUUCUUUAGAACUGAACUCUUGACUUGAAUAUCUCAGAGUUGUGAUGGAUGGGUCAUCUCUCUUCAGCUCAACACAAGAUGAUGAAAAAAAUUAAAAGAAAUUCAAUCAUGGCAGAAGAUCUGUGGAGCGUCACAGACCAUCACCGAGAAUUCAACUAAAAGAAAAAGAAAAAAUGCCAAACCAAGAGAGCAAGAGACAAUCUUCAGGACCAGGAGAGAAACAGACGCUGAGACUAACCAGAAGAAACAGCAUUAACAGCGGAAUACCAAACUUUUGUGAUGAUCCAGACAGUUUUAUUCUGAGUGACUCUCAGACGAGGCUUUGUGAGAAAAAUUCACCAAACAAAUAAAAUAAAACCAAACAAGAAUUGUAAUGAAGAUAAAACAAAUAAGAAUAAAUGCUGAGCUCACACUCAGCAUCACCCACGCCACGCAAAUCAUGCACUCGUAUAUUUGACACACCUGCAUUUACAGUUUUUUCAAUACCUUUAAAAACAUUCCUAAACUCUUAACACAGUUAGCACAACAUCCGUCUCUGUACAAUUAACACAUUUCUUGUUGCUUUAACACAAAAUGCAUCCAGUUAACACCCAUUUAAAAUGCUUGAACUUCUUUUACACUUUUUUUUUUUUACAUAAAAUAUACAUUUUAUAAAGCUAUUCUGAGAUGGUCAUUCAUUUUUUGAAUUGAAUUUCUGCAGCAAAAGAAACAAAAUGCAUGCAUUUACAACCCCCCCCCCCCCAAAAAAAAAAGUCUAUUGUAUAAGAGCAGACCUGAUGCAUACAAUAAAGCAGUUUCUGUCAUUUCAGCUGAUGAUAGUGUUUUUGUCAUUGUGUUAUGAUUGACUAAAUGUUCCUGUUGGAAGAGAACAUGUGUUAGUGUUUUGAAUGAUUAUUUGAUUUUGAAACAUUAGUUUUGGGGUUUAGUUUACAGUGUGUGAUUCUUAGCAUGAAAUGAACCGUUUUGCCAGUUGGUGCGUUAAGAGUUUAGGAGAGCGUUUAUUUUAGCUGCAGCUGGCUGGGCUCUUUAAAAAGCUUAGUCUUGGAUCAGUUUGGUCUUUUUGUUUCUGUUUUUGGUUUGGUUCGUACCCUGUGUGUGUGUGUGUGUGUGUGUGUUCUGACUGGAAUAUUUGAGAAUAGUUUUAAAGUAUUUCUAUGUGUUUUGUUUAUUUCUUUGCUUUGGUCUGUCCAGUCCUCCCCUUUUCCCAGAAUAUUAUUGUUUAUUAUUUACUAUAAUAUUGUUUAUUUUACAAUAUUACCAUGGCUAAAUAAAAGCUUUGUUUUUAUACGGUA